Molecule: long non-coding RNA, 134 nt
Organism: Xiphophorus hellerii (green swordtail)
Lineage: Eukaryota; Metazoa; Chordata; Actinopteri; Cyprinodontiformes; Poeciliidae
Exons: 3
Source: RefSeq, a predicted model, not a curated record
GUGUGUGUGUGUGUGUAUGGUUGUUUGUCCUGUCUGUCUCUGUGUUGCCCUGCAAUGGACAGGCGACCUGUCCAGAACCCCACCUCUCACCUGUUGACCUGUGGAGAUAGGCACCAGCAGCCUUCGUGAUCCCA